RNAcentral lists this ribosomal RNA (460 nucleotides) under uncultured bacterium. Its description in RNAcentral is "partial 16S ribosomal RNA". It matches the Rfam family "Bacterial small subunit ribosomal RNA", at positions 338 to 795 of the family's 1533-position model. The record is from RNAcentral.
CCUACGGGCGGCAGCAGUGAGGAAUAUUGGUCAAUGGACGAGAGUCUGAUCCAGCCAAGUAGCGUGAAGGAUGACUGCUCUAUGGGUUGUAUACUUCUUUUAUAUGGGAAUAAAAUGUUCCACGUGUGGGAGUUUGUAUGUACCAUAUGAAUAAGGAUCGGCUAACUCCGUGCCAGCAGCCGCGGUAAUACGGAGGAUCCGAGCGUUAUCCGGAUUUAUUGGGUUUAAAGGGAGCGUAGGUGGAUGGUUAAGUCAGUUGUGAAAGUUUGCGGCUCAACCGUAAAAUUGCAGUUGAUACUGGCAGUCUUGAGUACAGUUGAGGUAGGCGGAAUUCGUGGUGUAGCGGUGAAAUGCUUAGAUAUCACGAAGAACUCCGAUUGCGAAGGCAGCUUACUAAACUGCGACUGACGUUGAGGCCCGAAAGCGUGGGGAGCAAACAGGAUUAGAUACCCCGGUAGUC